CCUACGGGGGGCUGCAGUAGGGAAUAUUGGUCAAUGGGCGAAAGCCUGAAUCAGCAACGCCGCGUGAGCGACGAAGGCCUUAGGGUUGUAAAGCUCUGUUGCAAGGGAAGAAAAAAAUGACGGUACUUUGCGAGAAAGGACCGGCCAACUUCGUGCCAGCAGCCGCGGUAAGACGAAGGGUCCUAGCGUUGUUCGGAAUCACUGGGCGUAAAGCGCAUGUAGGUGGCUCUGUAAGUCAGAUGUGAAAGCCCCGGGCUCAACCUGGGAAGUGCAUU
This 275-nucleotide ribosomal RNA is filed under the name uncultured bacterium. RNAcentral describes it as "partial 16S ribosomal RNA". It matches the Rfam family "Bacterial small subunit ribosomal RNA", at positions 338 to 627 of the family's 1533-position model. The record is from RNAcentral.